CACGUAGGGCGCAAGCGUUGUCCGGAAUUAUUGGGCGUAAAGAGCUCGUAGGCGGUCUGUUACGUCCGCUGUGAAAACCCGGGGCUUAACCCCUGGCUUGCAGUGGAUACGGACAGACUAGAGGUAGGUAGGGGAGAAUGGAAUUCCCGGUGCAGCGGUGAAAUGCGCAGAUAUCGGGAGGAACACCGGUGGCGAAGGCGGUUCUCUGGGCCUUACCUGACGCUGAGGAGCGAAAGCGUGGGGAGCGAACAGG
RNAcentral lists this ribosomal RNA (253 nucleotides) under uncultured bacterium. Its description in RNAcentral is "partial 16S ribosomal RNA". It matches the Rfam family "Bacterial small subunit ribosomal RNA", at positions 524 to 776 of the family's 1533-position model. The record is from RNAcentral.